AGACACUUCCACCCACAAAGCUGCUGUAUGGACACUUCAUUGUCUCCUGGUACAAACUGCACUCCAGAGAAAUGACACAAAAUAGUCCACUCUGCAGGAAGACCAGAGUGGCUCCGUUUCAAGCUGCAUCCGGACCUCCAGCUUCCACCGAGGGCAGAACUCACCUUCCUGGAUGUCCUUAGCACACGAAGAGCUGAAUUUGCAAGGAAGAGAUGGUCCCUGAGAAGUGCAGAGGCAGGAGUGCGUUGCAGAGGAAGAACACUGAAGGAAGGAGCCGACGUGAGUAAAGCUGGAUCAGUUCCCUGAGCUGGAUGACAGACUGAUUUCACAACUAGAUGGGCCAGCACAGGAAGGACUGUGGUGCAUGGAAGAAGCAACGUGGAGGGAGUCCUGGAUUGUUGGAAACCACAAUUGCCUCAAAACUGGCCGUAACAUGAAUCCGCAG
This is a long non-coding RNA of Aquila chrysaetos chrysaetos, 445 nucleotides long. RefSeq lists it as uncharacterized. NCBI's taxonomy places the organism in Eukaryota, Metazoa, Chordata, Aves, Accipitriformes, Accipitridae. The record is from RefSeq and is a predicted model, not a curated record. The transcript has 3 exons.